This 1511-nucleotide ribosomal RNA is filed under the name uncultured sediment bacterium. RNAcentral describes it as "bacterial SSU rRNA". It matches the Rfam family "Bacterial small subunit ribosomal RNA". The record is from RNAcentral.
AGAGUUUGAUCCUGGCUCAGGACGAACGCUGGCGGCGUGCUUAACACAUGCAAGUCAAGGAGAAAUUACGAGCUUGCUCGUAAGAUUAAACUGGCGAACGGGUGAGUAACGCGUAGGCAACCUGCCUCUGUGAUCGGGAUAACAUCGAGAAAUCGUUGCUAAUACCGAAUGACAUUAGAUUGUCGCAUGACAGUUUAAUUAAAGAUGUCGUAAGUUAUCGCACAGAGAUGGGCCUGCGUUCCAUUAGUUAGAUGGUAGGGUAACGGCCUACCAUGGCAACGAUGGAUAGCUGGUCUGAGAGGGUGAUCAGCCACACUGGGACUGAGAUACGGCCCAGACUCCUACGGGAGGCAGCAGUGAGGAAUAUUGCGCAAUGGACGAAAGUCUGACGCAGCAACGCCGCGUGGGGGAUGAAGCACUAUGGUGUGUAAACCUCUGUAGACAGGGAAGAACGGCAUAUGUUCGAUAAGGGCAUGUGAUUGACGGUACCUGUAAAGUAAGCUCCGGCUAACUCCGUGCCAGCAGCCGCGGUAAUACGGGGGGAGCAAGCGUUGUCCGGAAUUACUGGGCGUAAAGGGCGUGUAGGCGGCUUGAUAAGUCAGAUGUGAAAGCCUUCCGCUUAACGGAAGAACUGCAUUUGAAACUGUUGGGCUUGAGUGCGAGAGAGGGUAGUGGAAUUCCCAGUGUAGCGGUGAAAUGCGUAGAUAUUGGGAAGAACACCAGUAGCGAAGGCGGCUACCUGGCUCGUAACUGGCGCUAAGGCGCGAAAGCGUGGGGAGCAAACAGGAUUAGAUACCCUGGUAGUCCACGCUGUAAACGAUGGGUACUAGGUGUUGGAUUCGAUACGUCGGAUUCGGUGCCGUAGCAAACGCAUUAAGUACCCCGCCUGGGGAGUACGAUCGCAAGGUUGAAACUCAAAGGAAUUGACGGGGGCCCGCACAAGCGGUGGAGCAUGUGGUUUAAUUCGAUGCAACGCGAAGAACCUUACCGGGGUUUGACAUCAUAGCGAAGUUUACAGAGAUGUGAAUGCCUUUCGGGGCGCUAUGACAGGUGCUGCAUGGCUGUCGUCAGCUCGUGUCGUGAGAUGUUGGGUUAAGUCCCGCAACGAGCGCAACCCCUUUCUUUAGUUACCAUCAUUCAGUUGGGGACUCUAAAGAUACCGCCCCGGUUAACGGGGAGGAAGGUGGGGAUGACGUCAAGUCCUCAUGGCCUUUAUGCCCAGGGCUACACACGUGCUACAAUGGGCUGUACAAAGGGUUGCCAGCCCGCGAGGGUGAGCUAAUCCCAAAAAGCAGUUCGUAGUUCGGAUUGGAGUCUGCAACUCGACUCCAUGAAGCUGGAAUCGCUAGUAAUCGUGGAUCAGCAUGCCACGGUGAAUACGUUCCCGGGCCUUGUACACACCGCCCGUCACACCAUGAGAGUUGGUUGUACCAGAAGUCGUUGGGCAAACCCUUCGGGGAUGCAGGCGCCUAAGGUAUGGCUGAUAAUUGGGGUGAAGUCGUAACAAGGUA